This 1575-nucleotide long non-coding RNA is filed under the name Gallus gallus (chicken). Lineage: Eukaryota; Metazoa; Chordata; Aves; Galliformes; Phasianidae. The record is from RNAcentral.
GAGAAAAAUGAGAAGGGAGAAAUAAAUUCAAGGGUCCGGGAAAUGGACAGUGAAAGUGCCCUGGAAACAGCAUGUAUGUUUGCUCCAUUUUUUUUUUUUUUUUAAAGAAGAGAAUAUUGAAGGGGCAUUAAUCAGAUUGUUAAAAACCUGGCAGAAUAAAUGUGUCAACAAAACUCCUUUUUUACCCACAUUCUAUUAAAACACUUUGAAGGAUUUCUAUGGAAACAGUAGGCUGUUACAAUGGGAAAUACCCAGCAUAACUGAAAAUGUCAAUCUUCCUUUCAGCAGUGAACUGGCCAUAAAUAGAGAUUCAGUGGAGCAAAACUGGUAUCACUUGGAAGCAGAGCUUCAAGUACAUCAACAAAGGAAUACUUACAGUCCAAGACAAAGCAUGUGAUUGCCUCUGAAAACCUGGAUACAGAUCUACUCAAGUCUGGAACCACAUCUGAUUUAUGGAGCACAGUAUUGCGUCUCAUACCACCUACUACAGCAACAAGCCUUGUACAUCAUUACUAGUGAAAUACAAUUCCUUUCAACUAAAAAGUGUCUUCAGGGUAGCACAUGUUGACCAUUCUUAUUGUUUAUUCAAUUUGUCCCUUCUUAUAUUCUCACCUCUACUACCUGCAUUUUCUUUCUAUCCCAGAUCUGAAUCUCUUUUUCUGUAUGUCAGCAAAAGCAAUGGUGCCUGUCUCACUCCAGCCUAAUUAUGGCCUUGAUUGUCAGUUAUAAUCUCAACUCCAAUCAAAUUGUAUUCUCCAAGAGAAAACAAGCCCUGAUUUUCUAUAAUGCAGCUAUUGAUACGUGCAGGCUACCUCAUCCUGUGGACUUGUGAAGUCCUGUCAUGCCAGUAACUUCCUGCAUUUAAGGGGUACUCUGAAAGUAAUCAGCAGCAGAUGUUGGUAGUAUGGCAGUAGAGACUGAACCUUCUUGUAAAUAUUCCAUUUCAUUUUGUUUCUAUGUGACAGAUGGCAGCAGAGGGGCAGUCCAAUAAAAUGAUGUCUGACAGGGAACUGUAUGAAGCAAAGGUGUGGAACUGAAUUCCUCCAUUUGGAAAAAAUGACACCCACUGGCAUUCAUCAGUGCUUACUGAACAUUUAUGGAGACCAAACAGUAAAUAUGAUCACAGUGAGGCAACGGGUGGUGAUCUUCAGCAGCUGCAAGAAUGACAUUGGAUCACCUCUGUUGGUGCAGAUUUUUCUGAGCGUGGCACACAGGCUCUUGUUCAAUGAUGGCAGAAGUAGUGCUUUGUAGCUGAGUAUUUGCUCUAUUGAAUAGUUAUAUUGUGCUUUAUAUAUGUUGUAGUUUCCAGUUUCCAUGGAAAUAAAUAGAAGGCAUGACUUUUGGAGCUACCUACUUCUUUUUUCUGGUUCAGUUUUUGUGUGUGUGUGUGCGUGUGUGCACAUGUGUUUGUUUAAAUUGGUUUGUUUGGUUUGCUUUUUAGCAUCUUAAAGCAUCCAUCUGGAUUCCACCCAACUAAAUACAUGCACAAGAUAAUGAAAUAUGAUACUGUCUGCUAAUGUGAUUCAUUUCACAUAAAUGGUUAUUGGAGAGCCAUAUUUCAAGACUAUGAGAUCC